RNAcentral lists this non-coding RNA (140 nucleotides) under Mus musculus (house mouse). Lineage: Eukaryota; Metazoa; Chordata; Mammalia; Rodentia; Muridae. The record is from RNAcentral.
AACAGAGUACAAGUGGUCGUAAAUACCCUUGGCUCAUGCGCAGAUUAUUUGUUUACCAACUUAGAACACAGGAUGUCAGCGCCAUCUUGUGACGGCGAAUGUGGGGGCGGCUUCCCACACUCCAGAGUGCUUGUCAGAAG